Molecule: long non-coding RNA, 3576 nt
Filed under: Mus musculus (house mouse)
Lineage: Eukaryota; Metazoa; Chordata; Mammalia; Rodentia; Muridae
Description: long non-coding RNA chr3:7413352-7416928
Source: RNAcentral
UGUUUCUAUUUUAUGGAAUAGUUUGAGGAGAAUUGGAAUUAGGUUUUCUUUGAAGGUCUGAUAGAACUCUAAACUAAACCCAUCUGGACCUGGACUUUUUUUUUGCUUGGGAGGCUAUUAAUGACUGCUUCUAUUUCUUUAGGGGAAAUGGGACUGUUAAGAUCAUUAGGAAGUUGUUCAUUUCAUCCAGGUUUUCCAGUUUAGUUGAGUAUAGCCCUUUGUAGUAGGAUGUGUGUUUUGGAUUUCCUCAGGUUCUGUUAUGUCUCCUUUUUAAUUUCUGCUUUUGUUAAUUAGGAUACUGUCCCUGUGCCCUCUAGUUAGUCUGGCUAAGGGUUUAUCUAUCUUGUUGAUUUUCUCAAAGAACUCGCUCCUGGUUUGGUUGAUUCGUUGUAUAGUUCUCUUUGUUUCCACUUGGUUGAUUUCAGACCUAAGUUUAAUUUUUUUUUUUUUUUUGUGCCAUCUACUCCUCUUGGGUGAAUCUUUUUCUUUUAUUCUAGAGCUUUUAGGUGUGCUGUCAGGCUGCUUGUGUAUGCUCUCUCUAGUUUCUUUAUGGAGGCACUCAGAGCUAUAUGUUUUCCUUUUAGGUCUGCUUUCAUCGUGUUGCAUAAGUUUGAGUAUGUUGUGGCUUCAUUUUCUUUAACCUCCAAAAAAUCUUUAAUUUCUUUCUUUAUUUCUUCCUUGACCAAGAUAUCAUUGAAUAGAGUGUUGUUCAGUUUCCAUGUGAAUGUUGGCUUUUAUUAUUUAUGCUGUUAUUGAAGAUAAGCCUUAGUCUGUGGUGAUCUGAUAGAUUGCAUGGGAUUAUUUCAAUAUUUUUGUAUCUGUUAAGGCCUGUUUUCUGGCUGAUUAUAUGGUCAAUUUUGGAGGAGGUACCAUGAGGUGCUGAGAAGAAGGUUUAUUUUUUUUUUUACUUUUUAUUUUUUGGAUAAAAUGUUUUGUAGAUAUCUGUUAAAUUCAUUUGUUUCAUAACUUCUGCUAGUGUCCAUGUGUGUCUGUUUAGUUUCUGUUUCCAGGAUGUGUCCAUUGGUGAGAGUGGGGUGUUAAAGUCUCCCACUAUUAUUGUGUGAGGUGCAAUGUGUGCUUUGAGCUUUACUAUAGUUACUUUUAUAAAUGUGGAUGCCCUUGCAUUUGGAGCAUAGAUAUUCAGAAUUGAGAGUUCAUCUUGGUAGAUUUUACCUUUGAUGAGUAUGAAGUGCCCCUCCUUGUCUUUUUUGAUAAGUUUGGGUUGGAAGUAAAUUUUAUUCGAUAUUAGAAUGGCUACUCCAGCUUGUUUCUUUGGACCUUUUGCUUGGAAAAUUGUUUUCCAGCCUUUUACUCUGAGGUAGUGUCUGUCUUUGUUCCUGAGGUGGGUUUCCUGUAAGCAGCAAAAUGUUGGGUCCUGUUUGUGUAGCCAGUCUGUUAGUCUAUAUCUUUUUAUUGGGGAAUUGAGUCCAUUGACAUUAAGUGAAAUUAAAGAAAAAUAAUUGUUGCUUCAUGUCACUUUUGUUGUUAAAGUUGGGAUUCUGUUCUUAUGGCUGUCUUCUUUUAGGUUUGUUGAAGGAUUACUUUCCUGCUUUUUCUAGAGUGUAGUUUCCAUCUUUGUGUUGGUGUUUUCCCUUUAUUAUUACCCUUUGAAAGUCUUGAUUCGUGGAAAGAUAUUGUGUGAAUUUUGUUUUGUCAUGAAAUACUUUGUUUAUUCCAUCUAAGGUAAUUGAGAGUUUUGCUGGGUAUAGUAGCCUGGGCUGGCAUUUGUGUUCUCUUAGUGUCUGUAUAACAUCUGUCCAGGAUCUUUUGGCUUUCAUAGUCUCUGUUGAGAAGUCUGGAGUAAUUCUAAUAGGCCUGACUUUAUAUGUUACUUGACCUUUUUCCCUCACUGAUUUUACUAUUCUGUCUUUAUUAAGUGCAUUUGUUGUUCUGAUUAUUAUGUGUCAGGAGGAAUUUCUUUUCUGGUCCAGUCUAUUUGGAGUUCUCUAGGCUUCUCAUGGGCAUCUCUUUCUUUAGGUUUGGGAAGUUUUCUUCUAUAAUUUUGUUGAAGAUAUUUGCUGGUCCUUUAAUUUGAAAAAUCUUCAUUCUCAUCUACUCCUAUUAUCCAUAGGUUUGGUCUUCUCAUUGUGUCCUGGAUUUCCUCUAUGUUUUGAUUUAGGAUCUUUUUGCAUUUUGCAUUUUCUUUGAUUGUUGUGUCCAUGUUUUCUAUGGAAUCUUCUGCACCUGAGAUUCUCUCUUCUGUCUCUUGUAUUCUGUUGCUGAUACUCACAUCUAUGGUUCCUGUUUUCUUUCCUAGGGUUUCUAUCUCCAGAGUUGUCUCCUUUUGGGAUUGUUUUUAUUGUUUUUACUUCACUUUUUAGAUCUUGGAUGGUUUUGUUCAAUUCCAUCACAUCUUUGGUUCUGUUUUACUGUAAUUCUUUAAGGGAUUUUUUUUUGUUUCCUCUUUAAGCCCUUCUACCUUUUUAGCAGUGUUUUCCUGUAAUUCUUUAAGGCCUUCUACCUUUUUAGCAGUGUUCUCCCAUAUUUCUUUGAGUUAUUAAUGCCCUUCUUAAAAUAUUCUAUCAUCAUCAUGAGAUAUGAUUUUAAAUCUGAGUCUUGCUUUUUUGGGUGUGUUGGUGUAUCCAGGACUCACUGUGGUGGGUUUACUGAGUUUUGAUGAUGCCCAGUGUUCUUGGUUUCUAUUAGUAAGAUUCUUACGUUUGCCUUUUGCCAUCUGGUAAUCUCUGGUGUUAAUGUUUUAGUAGUCUCUGGUUGGAGCUUAUUCCUCUGGUGAUUCUGUUAGCCUCUGUCAGCACUCCUGGGAGUCCAACUCUCACCUGAGUCCCAGUGGUCAGAGCAUUCUCUACAGGCAAGCUCUCCUCUUACAGGGCAGGUAUCCAGAAGUCUGGAGCUUUGAUCCACCUCCUGAGUCCUGGUGUCAGAGCCCUCCCUGUAAGCUAACUCUCCUCUGGCAAGGAAGGUGCCCAGGGCUCUGCCUCCUGGGUGAGGAUGAAAGCCCAAAGGGACCCUGUCCAAGAAGCUCUGUUGCUUCUGUCACCCACGUGCUCUCCCGUGUCACGAGGUCCUGGGUAUGCUAGGGGUCCUGUGGCAUGGAGAGUUGUGGAGAGUAUUCUGGAGCCCUUGGCUGCCUCCACUGGGUUCAGCUGGAAGAUGGCAGGGCUGGCCCCAACCAGAACAGAUACAGGCCUCUGGUUGUGUGAGGUUCCUUUGUCCCUGUUCCUGCUGACACAAGACUCUAGGAUUCUUUGGAGAUGAUGUUGUGUUCCACUCAAUUGUGACCCAGAGGUGAUCCUGAGGUUCUGAGGCCUGGAGAGUACUCUGGAGCCCUUGGCUCCAUCCAGUAUUUUUCAAGAGUUUAUUUUAAUUAUGUUUGCACAUGUCCAAGUGGAUAAACCUUAGCAGCUGACAAAAAGGGACAGGAAAGAAAAAGAAGAGAGACAGCUACAACUCUGAGCUAGGAGUUGAGAAAUUUCAUAAGCUCAUCGAUUGAGACCUCCAAGCAGCCACAUUGUGGACAAGAACUACAUUGUAGAUAAUAAGAUCUUGGAAGAAAGAGUGAGAAAGCCCAGAGUGCAUAUUUAUGCUUUGACCGGGAUCUGAAAGAAAAAGAGAUGG